RNAcentral lists this ribosomal RNA (270 nucleotides) under uncultured Desulfobulbus sp. RNAcentral describes it as "partial 16S ribosomal RNA". It matches the Rfam family "Bacterial small subunit ribosomal RNA", at positions 1113 to 1382 of the family's 1533-position model. Lineage: Bacteria; Pseudomonadati; Thermodesulfobacteriota; Desulfobulbia; Desulfobulbales; Desulfobulbaceae. The record is from RNAcentral.
AGUUGCCAGCAGUUCGGCUGGGCACUCUAAAGGGAACUGCCGGUGUUAAACCGGAGGAAGUGGGGGAAUGACGUCAAGUCCUCAUGGCCUUAUGACCAGGGCUACACACGUACUACAAUGGCCGAUACAAAGGGCAGCGACACUGCGAGGUGAAGCCAAUCCCGUAAAAUCGGUCUCAGUCCGGAUUGGAGUCUGCAACUCGACUCCAUGAAGUUGGAAUCGCUAGUAAUCGUGGAUCAGCAUGCCACGGUGAAUACGUUCCCGGGCCUU